ACAAAAACAAAACCCCACACGGCACCGCCUUGUCUUAAAUAUGCUGGAGCUUUGUGGCACCUUUUACACUGGAUUCUUGGCCUUACAGACUAGAGGAACCUGAAAGUGUACUGGAUAUGAAGUCAAAGCAGCUUGUUACCCAACUUGCUUUCUUCCACAGAGUAUUGAAAUAUUAAGAACACAGGCAAAUAAUGCUUAGAUACUUUCUUUGUUUGCAUGGAGUUGCAUUUGUUUGUUUGAAGCCAAGCUGGGUGGAGAAUUUUGCAUUUUAUGUCUUUGCGGUGAAUUGUGUGGCUCUGAAAUGUGAGUAAGAUAAGAUCACAAACAAGUAAAAACAUGUGUAGGCUGAAAAAUCAAUAUGUUUCAAAAUAACCGUUGAGAAACAAAUUAUUCCUGUAUUAAUGUGCUGAAAACUAGGUUUAGGAUUCUGCUAUGGCUGAUAAUGGUACUAACAUCUAAUGCAGUACUGCCAGAAAUUAGAUCUGCUUUCUUAGUCAGAUGUUAAUCACGUCACCACCUAGAAGUAAGGAACUCAAAAAGCUGAUAAUGGUAAAUGCAAUAUUAAGGAAUUUUCUGAGCUUCCUAUUCUUUGCAUAAUAAUUAGGUCUUAACAACAAUAGUUCUUUUUAAUCACUUGUGCUGAGGUUGGCUCUUUCCAUUUGCCCUGAAAUUUUCCAAUGUUUUAGCUGAAUUACCCAGAACAGCUACUCCCUUGUUAAAGAUGUUCCUGUUUUUCAAUUCAGGAUUCAACGUCAUUGUCACUGAAGGGUGGCAGAAUUCCUGCUAACUUAAUCACAUUCAGACCUAUACCAUGCCUAACAUCAGAAAGCCAUUAAUGACUAGCCUAUGCCAACCAAAGUCUGCUUUGUCUGUGAUGACACAUCUUAAAAAUAGUUUCCUCUGAAUGAAAUCUAUGUUUCUGUACUGAAUUAGUACUUGCUGGGAGUCACUCAGUGAUCCUUACAAUUUUGCUCCAACACCCACUGCCCUUGAGAAGCACCUCAAGAAGCCAUUCCUAAUAUGAUACAAUUCAGGAACAGCUAAAGACAAUAACUGAAAACUGUAGGUUACCAGCAAUGUAAAGAUUUAGUUUGCCUUCAGAACCUGGCAUUUCUUUUUUCAGCCUGUCCUUUGCUUAGAACACUCAGGAAUGCUACGGGAUUUAAACACUUGACUUUUCGGGAAUAAUCCUAAGAAUCCACAAUCUCUGUGCCUGGUACAUAAUUCACAUAAGACAGAACUGAACAUUUCCUGUUUAUAUUUCUCUCUAUAUGUUGAAGUCUCCUGAGUGCUGGAUUUGUCUACAAGUCAGCCACGUAUGUACUAUAAACAUCUGCAUAUUUACAACGUGGAAUUCCCCAAAUUCUCAAUACCUCAGAUGAUGAUCGACAUUUAAAGAAGAUACACAUGGAAUUACAGUCUCAUCCUCUCUACAGUUUAACUUUGGAUAAUCAAUGACCACAGCCACUCUUGAAGAAGAAAAACAAGUUGGCAGCUGUGACUAUGUGUUAAAAGGGAUGUUUAUGACUGCAUGAUUAAGAACAGCCGUUGGAAGGGAUCGAGACUGGCAGGAAAGCUGUUUGCUCUACAUCUGGGAUCCUUCUGGAGUUGUGGUACUGUACAGCACAGCUUGAUUAGAUUCUACAGCUGGUCUCCCAGAACUUUUGCACUCCUAGCAGUCUUCCAGUUCUCUCUUGCUGCUCUGACCCAAGAUGGGAUAGGCUGUAGCAUCUCCCCAUUUACUGAAGCAGAAAGCCACAAGAACACAACCUGAGAGAGGAGAAAGCACUCCUGGGGACAGGCUGAGUAACAGAGACCAUCAGAACACUCAACUGAAUCAUUUGCACAACCUUUUUCUUAUCUUUCCACAAGACAAAGUUCACACAGAGAGAUAAGGAGACAGAGCAAAUCAGAAGGUGAGUUCUGAAAUGAUGAAAAGAGCCAGGAUUCAGCCAGGAAUCAUUGCUGCCUUCUAAAUUCUUUGGCUGUCAUGUUUUCAUCUUUCUUGCCUGGCUGUUCAAAACAUGAUACUGACAAAAAUCCUUUGAAACGGGGUUUUUAUGCACCUGCAAGAACAAGGGGCAUCAUCAUCACUUACACCAGUGAAGCAGCUGUAAACCAUUUAAGAUCAGCAUCUCUUUCAGGUGUCCUUGUUCUUUUCUCAGUUAGACCUGGAAGAGCUUGCACUUGGAGAACCUUUGCUGCUACUUCAUUUUCCUAAGGAAACCCAGUUAGUUUAUGGUAUUUCCAGACUUACUUAUUGAUUGAUUUUGUGUAUGUGUUACUUGGUUUACUUCAAGUGAUUAUGAACUGCUCUCUGUAGGCUGCAUUGUUGCAGCAGCAAGCAAGCUCACUUAGUUUGAUGUGCAGUGUUCUCUUUUCCUCAUAGCUGGCCCUACCUGUCUCUUAGAUGCACAUGGAGAGUUGCUCUCACUAAACAUCUGAUUGCUGUAAAACUUGCGAAUAAUUUUGGGUUUGUUUGUUUGUUUUGUUUUGUUUAGAUGCAAUUAUUUGAGUCUUUGAAUUAGCACAUCUGUUGGGAGGCCAAAGGGAUAAUACCAACUCUGUCUCUUUCUCUGUAAAUAGACAGUACACAAUUCAUUUUUCCUAAAUCCUGUGCUUGGCCCUCAGGUCCAUUGAAUGACUAUUUCCCUCUUUUCUUUCUUGUUCCUUCUCACAAAGCGCAGUACCCAGUCAGGCCCAAGAUUUGUAGCUAGUUCUAAAAGGGCAAAGGUUCCACAUGACUCUAGGCAACAGGAACACACGCACAUACAAAUCUGUCUCUUUGCUCCAGGCAACUGCUAGGCAGAGGGUUGGGUUUUUGUUCUGUUUUUGUUUGGGCUUUUUUCCCCCUGGAGGAAACGCCUUUGCUCUUAAAGCAUUCUCAUCGACCUGGGAAAAUCACACAGGAUUACUUCUUGCUCAGGUCUUCAUAUUCAGCCCAUCGCGUUGGAUAGCUGCUGCUUCCAGAGCCAUUGCUGUCUAAAGACACGCGGCCCAGGGUACCCCAAGUUUAGCCCAAGCUAAUAAAUCAAACCUGUUGGUGUUGCUAUUAAUAGUUUUCAGCAUUGUAAAAUGUUGACUUUUUAAUUACUACAUCAAACUUCACCAUUUUCUCACCAGAAGCUUGAGAGCAAGAUUGCAUAAAGCAAGCAAUGAGAACUCAAAAAAUAAUGGUACCCGGGCUGAUCCACUGGAUACCAAAGAAAAGUAAAUGUGUGGAAUCCUAUUGGUUGGUGUGAAAAGUAGCAGUUUCUUAUUGCUGAGCUGAUCUUUCUUCAUCCAAAGAUGACUUUAAAAAAAUUAAUGUUUUUUUGUUAGAAGGGUUGCAAGUUUUGUGUCAUUGUUCUGCAAUGUGGAUAAUUACUCCAUGGCUCUUAGCUCUGGGCUGCUCCUGAGGCAGACCCACAGCACAAUGGGUACGUACAGCUUGUCCCAUGUGCUCUGGGCAUCAGAGCUGAGAAUGGGACAAGGGCUGUCGCAGUGGGUCUGUGCCCUUCUGAGUUGUUCCUGGCCAUGUGAACACGUUUAUGGCUGGGGCAGUUAAGCUGCUGGCCCUGGAGCUGUUUGGAGCCGCUGGAGCCAUGCCAAGGAUCUGGCUCAACUGAUAGAUUUUGUUUUCAAGUUGCACAAGCACAAGUAACCUGCAAGGCUCGAUUAAUUUUUUCCGUAAAAUUGUUAAGUUCAGAUAGGAUUACCUUUAUAGCAGCCACACAGGGAUCCCAUGUCAGCAUUUGUCAUCUUACCUUAACUGCCCUCCCUAGAAACUGCAUCCACACCUAUAAGCCUUUGGGUCUGGCCUUACAGCUGAUAUUCUGACAGUCAGCAGAGUCCUGCCUGCAGAGGUUGGGUGAUAUUCGCCUUCUGUUUUUUAAAACUGUAGAACAUAUUCACCCCCCGAAGUAAAACCUCCAACCUCAGCCCAUAUUAUUAUUAUUAUUUAGGACAAAACUGCCCAGGUUUCAUCCUGAAGCAAAGAGUGAUUUCAAUGGGCUUGAACUUAAAAGUGUGACGUUCCCUACUUGUACUCAUGGUUUUUUCCUUAUUGUUUGCCCUACCUCUGCAUUCUUUAAAAGUUCAAAACAAGUUCCUCUUCUAAAGAGGCUUCUGCACAGGCUCUGGAACAUGUUGUGUAAGGGUGAAACAUACAUGAGUUGAACUGUGUGGCUGGUGGCUGUUUGCAGAGCUCACAGCAGGACCAAGGGUGGGAUUUGGGAAGAUUAUGUUAAGUAGGAGUUGGAAAAAUCCCCUCCUGCGUUCCCUACCGCUGCAAAAACAGAACGAUUCGCAGGAGCCUGUAUCCUACUGCAAAGGACCAUAAAACUGAGGGUGAGACGGGGCAGGCUGACCAGCCCCGGGCGGCACGCGUGCAGCGCCACGCCGCCAUUUGGUGCGGAGCGGAGCGGGCCCCCAGGGCGAGGCGAAGGCGGUUCCGCCCCAGGCGCGGCUCCCGGCGGGGCACCGCAGAGAAGCGCUUCCUGCCCGCCGCCGGCGCUCGCCCCUCGGCCUGCCCGGGUUAAGCUGAAGAGUGAGCAAAGCCUCAAAAUGGUGGUAAGGUAACACUUUGCUAUAGAAAGGGAAAGGGGAACUUCACAGAAACCAAGACAAAGGGUAACUGUACAUUUAAAAGUGCAGGGAAAGGGGGAAUUGCAGACACUUAGUCAAAAUAAAGCCAGAGAAGAGGGCAAUAAAGAUAAGAAGAAACUGUCCGGAGACCUCUGACAAGAAGGAUUAGAUCCUCCCCCCCGGCAC
This is a non-coding RNA of Coturnix japonica (Japanese quail), 4752 nucleotides long. The record is from RefSeq and is a predicted model, not a curated record. NCBI's taxonomy places the organism in Eukaryota, Metazoa, Chordata, Aves, Galliformes, Phasianidae.